Long non-coding RNA from Lemur catta (Ring-tailed lemur), 641 nucleotides. RefSeq lists it as uncharacterized. The record is from RefSeq and is a predicted model, not a curated record. The transcript is spliced from 3 exons. Lineage: Eukaryota; Metazoa; Chordata; Mammalia; Primates; Lemuridae.
CAGAAGGUGCCAUCUAAAUAGGUCACUGAGGAGAACGUCAGGACAGCUGUUUACAAAGGUGUGGACAGGGUACGGGAAACCUACUGGCUAGUAUCAUGGAAACCAUGACCCGCUGGAAGCCUGAAGAGGCAAGAAGAAGGGAUCCCCGGAGCCCCGGGAAGGGCCUUGACGGCAGCUUUGCCUGAUGUCGCUGUUGAACUGCCCUGACGGACAGUUGGAGAGUUACGGCUUCCAUGGUGAUUCCAAGGUCACCUCAGCGUGCCAUCACCACCUCCUUAGGAACACAUGCCAUCAUGACGGUGAACACAUCCGAAUACUGCGCAGGGGGGCCCAGGUGGGCAAGAGGAGGCCUCAGGGACUCUCUCCAUGGCUGCAUCCCUGACUUGGUUGUGCAAGUCACUCUGACCUCUGCAGAGAACAAAUGUCCCUGAGAUACACUGUCAUUUGGAAAUGUUCUAGAAAUAUUGAGUUUGGAACUGUAGGAUUUGCUCCGGCCAUGUGCAGUCCUGUGUUGGCGCCUCUCUCCUCGGUGAUAGGAACCUCCGCCUCAACUCCUGUUUCCAGCAGAUGGAAGGACCACUGUUGUCUUGGCUGAAAGGCUUCUACAUCAGAGGGGCACCGCGGGAAGGGAAUAAAACAAA